Molecule: long non-coding RNA, 1018 nt
Filed under: Macaca mulatta (Rhesus monkey)
Lineage: Eukaryota; Metazoa; Chordata; Mammalia; Primates; Cercopithecidae
Description: lncRNA (ENSMMUG00000049045.2)
Source: RNAcentral
AAUUAACUUUGUCUCAUUAUGGCAUUUAAUUUGAUAUCCAUAAUUUAAAUAAGCUUUUAUUUAUCUUAUAGGUUUAUCAAAGACAAAAAGCUACAAUAAAGAGCCUCUCUGUUGCCAAGCUCACCUUCAAGGAAAUAUCGUGGAUUAUUACUGCCUUGGUUACAGUCAAUUACAGGAGCAGCAGUGUUAUAUGCAAGAAAGUGCCAAGCUCUAAUAAAGGCAGUUUCUAAAAGUCAAAUUUUACUGAAGUGAUGGAGUGAGAACAAGAGUGACUAAGAUAGAGAAAGAAACAGAGAGAGAUGGGGAGAGAGAGAGAGAGAGUGAGAGAUGUUACGAACAAGGCAGAGAAUCCACGAAGAAAAUGUCUUCUCAUCAGACAAAACCCUCUUGCCAUUCCACUCUCCAUGAGAAACUUACAUUCUAAAAUUGAAGGCUGCAACCUUCCUUUUGUUGAUUUUAUGGAGCAGGCUCACAAAAUGGUGAAGAUUAUGAGUUCUAGAACCAAACUCAAAUCUAGAUACCAAGGUUUGAAUCGGGGCUACAGCCAUUACAAGUUAUGUGAGUUUGGUUGUUCUGUUUAACUGCUUUCUGCCAUGGAUUACUCUGUCGUAAAUAAGGGUGAUGAUAAUACAUACCCUAUAGGUAAGUAUUAUAUUAAUAAGAAAAAAUCAGUUAGGACAAGCAUGGCCUAUUUUAAGUGAUGAAUAAAUAUUAGCAAAUGUCAAAAAUGUGAAUGUUUCGUAAUACACAGAUAGCUUUCAAACUACAUAUUCCUCAGACUGAAAUUGCCAACAGUGUAAAGCAUUCUCUUAAUAUUAAUAGUUUUAUUGUAAACAAAUUUCUAGUAAUAUUCUCUCUAAUUAGUUUUACCUGUGUUUAUAGAUGAAUUUGAAACUCCCAUGUACAUUUUUGAAAAAUCAACGAAUACUUACCAAGUUGUUUAAGUGUGUGCCAUUUUAAGGUAUAAGCAUAUGAAUUCCACUGACUAGCAUAAAUGUGGGCAUCUGUUCCUGUCUUC